CCUACGGGAGGCAGCAGUCGAGAAUCAUUCACAAUGGGGGAAACCCUGAUGGUGCGACGCCGCGUGGGGGAAUGAAGGUCUUCGGAUUGUAAACCCCUGUCAUGUGGGAGCAAAUUAAAACGAUCGUACCACAAGAGGAAGAGACGGCUAACUCUGUGCCAGCAGCCGCGGUAAUACAGAGGUCUCAAGCGUUGUUCGGAAUCACUGGGCGUAAAGCGUGCGUAGGCUGUUUCGUAAGUCGUGUGUGAAAGGCGCGGGCUCAACCCGCGGACGGCACAUGAUACUGCGAGACUAGAGUAAGGGAGGGGGAACCGGAAUUCUCGGUGUAGCAGUGAAAUGCGUAGAUAUCGAGAGGAACACUCGUGGCGAAGGCGGGUUCCUGGACAGUAACUGACGCUGAGGCACGAAGGCCAGGGGAGCGAAAGGGAUUAGAUACCCUUGUAGUC
This 446-nucleotide ribosomal RNA is filed under the name uncultured bacterium. RNAcentral's name for it is "partial 16S ribosomal RNA". It matches the Rfam family "Bacterial small subunit ribosomal RNA", at positions 338 to 795 of the family's 1533-position model. The record is from RNAcentral.